CCUACGGGGGGCAGCAGUGAGGAAUAUUGGUCAAUGGACGAGAGUCUGAACCAGCCACGUAGCGUGAAGGAUGACUGCCCUAUGGGUUGUAAACUUCUUUUAUAUGGGAAUAAAACGUUCCACGUGUGGGAUUUUGUAUGUACCCUAUGAAUAAGGAUCGGCUACCUCCGUGCCAGCAGCCGCGGUAAUACGGAGGCUCCGAGCGUUAUCCGGAUUUAUUGGGUUUAAAGGGAGCGUAGGUGGAGUGUUAAGUCAGUUGUGAAAGUUUGCGGCUCAACCGUGAAAGUGCAGUUGACACUGGCAGUCUUGAGUACAGGAGAGGUAAGCGGAAGUCGUGGUGUAGCGGUGAAAUGCGUAGAUAUGACGAAGAACUCCGAUUGCGAAGGCAGUUCACGGGACUGCAACUGACACUGAGGCUCGAAAGUGUGGGUAUCAAACAGGAGUAGAUACCCGAGUAGUC
RNAcentral lists this ribosomal RNA (460 nucleotides) under uncultured bacterium. Its description in RNAcentral is "partial 16S ribosomal RNA". It matches the Rfam family "Bacterial small subunit ribosomal RNA", at positions 338 to 795 of the family's 1533-position model. The record is from RNAcentral.